Molecule: ribosomal RNA, 392 nt
Filed under: uncultured bacterium
Lineage: Bacteria
Description: bacterial SSU rRNA
Rfam family: Bacterial small subunit ribosomal RNA
Source: RNAcentral
AUUGAACGCUGGCGGCAUGCCUUACACAUGCAAGUCGAACGGCAGCACGGGAGCAAUCCUGGUGGCGAGUGGCGAACGGGUGAGUAAUGUAUCGGAACGUACCUUUCAGUGGGGGAUAACGUAGCGAAAGUUACGCUAAUACCGCAUAUUCUGUGAGCAGGAAAGCAGGGGAUCGCAAGACCUUGCGCUGAUUGAGCGGCCGAUAUCAGAUUAGCUAGUUGGUGGGGUAAAGGCUCACCAAGGCGACGAUCCGUAGCGGGUCUGAGAGGAUGAUCCGCCACACUGGAACUGAGACACGGUCCAGACUCCUACGGGAGGCAGCAGUGGGGAAUUUUGGACAAUGGGCGCAAGCCUGAUCCAGCCAUGCCGCGUGAGUGAAGAAGGCCUCGGUU